GACGAACGCUGGCGGCGUGCUUAACACAUGCAAGUCGAACGGAAAGGCCCUGCUUUUGUGGGGUGCUCGAGUGGCGAACGGGUGAGUAACACGUGAGUAACCUGCCCUUGACUUUGGGAUAACUUCAAGAAACUGGGGCUAAUACCGGAUAGGAGCUCCUGCUGCAUGGUGGGGGUUGGAAAGUUUCGGCGGUUGGGGAUGGACUCGCGGCUUAUCAGCUUGUUGGUGGGGUAGUGGCUUACCAAGGCUUUGAAGGGUAGCCGGCCUGAGAGGGUGACCGGCCACAUUGGGACUGAGAUACGGCACAGACUCCUACGGGAGGCAGCAGUGGGGAAUAUUGCACAAUGGGCGGAAGCCUGAUGCAGCAACGCCGCGUGCGGGAUGACGGCCUUCGGGUUGUAAACCGCUUUCGCCUGUGACGAAGCGUGAGUGACGGUAAUGGGUAAAGAAGCACCGGCUAACUACGUG
Molecule: ribosomal RNA, 468 nt
Filed under: uncultured bacterium
Lineage: Bacteria
Description: partial 16S ribosomal RNA
Rfam family: Bacterial small subunit ribosomal RNA
Source: RNAcentral